GAUGAACGCUGGCGGCGUGCCUAAUACAUGCAAGUCGAGCGAACAGAUGAGGAGCUUGCUCCUCUGACGUUAGCGGCGGACGGGUGAGUAACACGUGGAUAACCUACCUAUAAGACUGGGAUAACUUCGGGAAACCGGAGCUAAUACCGGAUAAUAUAUUGAACCGCAUGGUUCAAUAGUGAAAGACGGUUUUGCUGUCACUUAUAGAUGGAUCCGCGCCGCAUUAGCUAGUUGGUAAGGUAACGGCUUACCAAGGCAACGAUGCGUAGCCGACCUGAGAGGGUGAUCGGCCACACUGGAACUGAGACACGGUCCAUACUCCUACGGGAGGCAGCAAUAGGGAAUCUUCCGCAAUGGGCGAAAGCCUGACGGAGCAACGCCGCGUGAGUGAUGAAGGUCUUCGGAUCGUAAAACUCUGUUAUUAGGGAAGAACAAAUGUGUAAGUAACUAUGCACGUCUUGACGGUACCUAAUCAGAAAGCCACGGCUAACUACGUG
RNAcentral lists this ribosomal RNA (497 nucleotides) under uncultured bacterium. RNAcentral's name for it is "partial 16S ribosomal RNA". It matches the Rfam family "Bacterial small subunit ribosomal RNA", at positions 28 to 507 of the family's 1533-position model. The record is from RNAcentral.